This 336-nucleotide unclassified non-coding RNA is filed under the name soil metagenome. RNAcentral's name for it is "partial contains 5.8S ribosomal RNA, internal transcribed spacer 2, and large subunit ribosomal RNA". The stretch from base 1 to 120 matches the Rfam family "5.8S ribosomal RNA", at positions 35 to 154 of the family's 154-position model. The record is from RNAcentral.
GAUGAAGAACGUAGCGAAAUGCGAUAAGUAAUGUGAAUUGCAGAAUUCAGUGAAUCAUCGAAUCUUUGAACGCACAUCGCGCCCGCCAGUAUUCUGGCGGGCAUGCCUGUUCGAGCGUCAUUUCAACCAUCAAGCCCCCGGCUUGUGUUGGGGACCUGCGGCUGCCGCAGGCCCUGAAAACCAGUGGCGGGCUCGCUGUCACACCGAGCGUAGUAGAUUUUCAUCUCGCUCAGGGCGUGCUGCGGGUUCCGGCCGUAAAAAGCCUUAUUUACCCAAGGUUGACCUCGGAUCAGGUAGGAAGACCCGCUGAACUUAAGCAUAUCAAUAAGCGGAGGA